RNAcentral lists this ribosomal RNA (366 nucleotides) under uncultured Bacillus sp. RNAcentral's name for it is "bacterial SSU rRNA". It matches the Rfam family "Bacterial small subunit ribosomal RNA", at positions 1017 to 1382 of the family's 1533-position model. The record is from RNAcentral. Lineage: Bacteria; Bacillati; Bacillota; Bacilli; Caryophanales; Bacillaceae.
CCUCGGGUGACAGGGAGACAGGUGGUGCAUGGUUGUCGUCAGCUCGUGUCGUGAGAUGUUGGGUUAAGUCCCGCAACAAGCGCAACCCCUACGUUUAGUUGCUAACGCGUGAAGGCGAGCACUCUAGACGAACUGCCGUUGACAAAACGGAGGAAGGUGGGGAUGACGUCAAAUCAUCAUGCCCCUUAUGUUCUGGGCUACACACGUGCUACAAUGGCCGGUACAGACGGACGCAAAGCCGCGAGGUGGAGCAAAUCCUAAAAAGCCGGUCUCAGUUCGGAUUGCAGGCUGCAAUUCGCCUGCAUGAAGUCGGAAUCGCUAGUAAUCGCAGGUCAGCAUACUGCGGUGAAUAUGUUCCCGGGCCUU